AGAGUUUGAUCCUGGCUCAGAACGAACGCUGGCGGCGCGCUUAACACAUGCAAGCCGAGCGGGGGGCUUCGGCCCCCAGCGGCGGACGGGUGAGUAACGCGUGGGAACCUGCCCUGGGGUUUGGGAUAGCAGCGGGAAACUGCUGGUAAGACCGGAUGUGUCCUUUUGAGGAGAACCUGGGAUGGGCCCGCGUCCGAUUAGCUAGUUGGUGGGGUAACGGCCCACCAAGGCUGCGAUCGGUAGCCGGUCUGAGAGGAUGAUCGGCCACACUGGGACUGAGACACGGCCCAGACUCCUACGGGAGGCAGCAGUGGGGAAUCUUGGACAAUGGGGGCAACCCUGAUCCAGCGACGCCGCGUGGGUGAUGAAGGCCUUCGGGUUGUAAAGCCCUUCUCCUGGGGACGAUGAUGACGGUACCCGGGGAAUAAGCACCGGCUAACUCCGUGCCAGCAGCCGCGGUAAUUC
Molecule: ribosomal RNA, 465 nt
Filed under: uncultured bacterium
Lineage: Bacteria
Description: partial 16S ribosomal RNA
Rfam family: Bacterial small subunit ribosomal RNA
Source: RNAcentral